This 433-nucleotide ribosomal RNA is filed under the name uncultured bacterium. RNAcentral's name for it is "partial 16S ribosomal RNA". It matches the Rfam family "Bacterial small subunit ribosomal RNA", at positions 29 to 507 of the family's 1533-position model. The record is from RNAcentral.
AACGAACGCUGGCGGCAUGCCUAACACAUGCAAGUCGAACGAGACCUUCGGGUCUAGUGGCGCACGGGUGCGUAACGCGUGGGAACCUGCCCUUAGGUUCGGAAUAACUCCCCGAAAGGGGUGCUAAUACCGGAUAAGGUCUUAGGACCAAAGAUUUAUUGCCUUUGGAUGGGCCCGCGUUGGAUUAGCUAGUUGGUAGGGUAAAAGCCUACCAAGGCGACGAUCCAUAGCUGGUCUGAGAGGAUGAUCAGCCACACUGGGACUGAGACACGGCCCAGACUCCUACGGGAGGCAGCAGUGGGGAAUAUUGGACAAUGGGCGAAAGCCUGAUCCAGCAAUGCCGCGUGAGUGAUGAAGGCCUUAGGGUUGUAAAGCUCUUUUACCCGGGAUGAUAAUGACAGUACCGGGAGAAUAAGCACCGGCUAACUACGUG